AUUGAACGCUGGCGGCAUGCCUUACACAUGCAAGUCGAACGGUAACAGGUCUUCGGAUGCUGACGAGUGGCGAACGGGUGAGUAAUACAUCGGAACGUGCCCAGACGUGGGGGAUAACGAGGCGAAAGCUUUGCUAAUACCGCAUACGAUCUAAGGAUGAAAGCAGGGGACCGCAAGGCCUUGCGCGUUUGGAGCGGCCGAUGGCAGAUUAGGUAGUUGGUGGGAUAAAAGCUUACCAAGCCGACGAUCUGUAGCUGGUCUGAGAGGACGACCAGCCACACUGGGACUGAGACACGGCCCAGACUCCUACGGGAGGCAGCAGUGGGGAAUUUUGGGCAAUGGGCGAAAGCCUGAUCCAGCAAUGCCGCGUGCAGGAUGAAGGCCUUCGGGUUGUAAACUGCUUUUGUACGGAACGAAAAGGCUCUGGCUAAUACCUGGGGCACAUGACGGUACCGUAAGAAUAAGCACCGGCUAACUACGUG
This 482-nucleotide ribosomal RNA is filed under the name uncultured bacterium. RNAcentral describes it as "partial 16S ribosomal RNA". It matches the Rfam family "Bacterial small subunit ribosomal RNA", at positions 30 to 507 of the family's 1533-position model. The record is from RNAcentral.